This 495-nucleotide ribosomal RNA is filed under the name uncultured bacterium. Its description in RNAcentral is "partial 16S ribosomal RNA". It matches the Rfam family "Bacterial small subunit ribosomal RNA", at positions 27 to 507 of the family's 1533-position model. The record is from RNAcentral.
GGACGAACGCUGGCGGCGUGCUUAACCCAUGCAAGUCGAACGGUGAAGCGCCUUCCUUUUUGGUGGGUGUGGAUGAGUGGCGAACGGGUGAGUAACACGUGAGUAACCUGCCCCCUUCUUCUGGAUAACCGCAUGAAAGUGUGGCUAAUACGGGAUAUUCUGGGUCUGUCGCAUGAUGGGUCUGGGAAAGAUAUUGUUUCGGUGGGGGAUGGGCUCGCGGCCUAUCAGCUUGUUGGUGGGGUGAUGGCCUACCAAGGCGGUGACGGGUAGCCGGCCUGAGAGGGUGGACGGUCACACUGGGACUGAGACACGGCCCAGACUCCUACGGGAGGCAGCAGUGGGGAAUAUUGCACAAUGGGCGCAAGCCUGAUGCAGCGACGCCGCGUGAGGGAUGGAGGCCUUCGGGUUGUGAACCUCUUUCGCCAGUGAAGCAGGCCUGCCUCGUUUGUGGGUGGGUUGACGGUAGCUGGAUAAGAAGCGCCGGCUAACUACGUG